This 77-nucleotide transfer RNA is filed under the name Alphaproteobacteria bacterium. RNAcentral describes it as "tRNA-Val". It matches the Rfam family "tRNA". Rfam says of the family: Transfer RNA (tRNA) molecules are approximately 80 nucleotides in length. Their secondary structure includes four short double-helical elements and three loops (D, anti-codon, and T loops). RNAcentral also lists the same sequence under 1 other name. The record is from RNAcentral. Lineage: Bacteria; Pseudomonadati; Pseudomonadota; Alphaproteobacteria.
GGAUGUGUGGCUCAGUUGGUUAGAGCACUACGUUCACAUCGUAGGGGUCGGCGGUUCGAGUCCGCCCACAUCCACCA